AGUUAAUUAAUUUAAAUAAAAAUUUUUAUUUUGAAAAUAAAUCUUAGAAUAAAAUUCUAUUAACUUA
RNAcentral lists this transfer RNA (67 nucleotides) under Meitanaphis elongallis. Its description in RNAcentral is "tRNA-Ser". Lineage: Eukaryota; Metazoa; Arthropoda; Insecta; Hemiptera; Aphididae. RNAcentral also lists the same sequence under 1 other name. The record is from RNAcentral.